Pezoporus occidentalis (night parrot) is the source of this 1382-nucleotide long non-coding RNA. RefSeq lists it as uncharacterized. The transcript is spliced from 3 exons. The record is from RefSeq and is a predicted model, not a curated record. NCBI's taxonomy places the organism in Eukaryota, Metazoa, Chordata, Aves, Psittaciformes, Psittacidae.
UUGCUCCUCUGUAGUUACAGUCUUGCAGCUCAAAAUUUACCUCAAGAAAGAAUGCAAAUAAUGUCUGAAGUAUCAAGUGAGUUCUUUAAAUACAAAACAACAGGGAGACUAUCCCCCUGGUUCACUUGAAGAUAGCCCAGGAGUAAAAGAGAAACUGUUUUUUUCCCCCACAGAUCAUGCUACAAAGAAUUAGAAACGGGAUCACUUGGGGGGAGGAAAGGGGAAUCAACAGAUUCUGUAUUUUUUGCUAGGAUUACCAGGGCUGGAGUUUUGACUUCCAUUAGCAGUGGCAUUGCUCAGCACUUCCAAAGGUGGUUGCGGUGUUUAAAAAGCAAUCCACUUCACAUUACUUGAUGUUCAAGUUUCCCACUACAGCAUAUGUAUUAUGGAGGAGAAGGUACCUGGCUUUAUAACUAAAUCUUUGUUCUAUAGGAGUGAUGGAUGGUAACAGAAACUGGGCAAAAUGUAAGCUAACCUGGCAAAAUGAGAAGGGAUUAAUUGGGAGCUUAACUCUUUACACAUGAUUUCUGUUUGCAUUUUUGCUCUCCUCCUAACUAUCUCUACUUUUCUCACAUGUGCCUGUUUUUCUGGCCAAUCCCUAUCAGCCAAAUGCUACUUUAAGGAUUUAUAAGCUUGGAGAAGCAGCUAGGUUUUUGUUUGAAAGCAAGAUUGAGAGUUGCCAUGAUUGCACUGCGCUCCUAUAUGCCUUCUAACACCAUGACAACAGUUACAGCUGGGCUUCGAGGAGACUGGUUUUCUAUGCGAAAUACUGGCACCUGAUCUGCUGCUACGGAAAAGUGGCAGUGAAAGAAACAGCAUACCAGAACACUCAUAUACAUGUUCCAUUGUGAAAGAGAAACCACAGGGACCUAACGUAGGUCCCUAACAGAGACCAAUCGGCUGUAGGACCCUUUCAAGAAACCCACUGAAGAGCAGUAGGUGAGCUGUUCCAUGGCAGGGCCCUGGGGCACUGCAGGUUCUGUGGGGCCAGCUGCAGUGGCAAAAGGCCAGAGAGGCAUGUGAGUGCACUUGCACUUGGUCCUUCUGUACCAUCUUCUAUCUAGAAGAACAGAAGGGGCCCCAGGUCCCAGCACAUCUUUCCUGCCUCUGAACAGUGGAAUAGUUUUCAACCUUAUGCAUGUAUUUAUGGAUGUUUACUAGCUCUGUGUCUCUUACUCCAAAUACUUGCUUUUCAAUUACCAAGAGAAAAGACAGCUCACAUCAGCCUCUUGCUUCACAAAGCACACAGUAUCUGUAAUUCAUAAGUGAUUGCACUCAGAGACCUGUAUUAUUUCUUACUCUGAGCACAUCAGCUUUUGUAACAGUGUACAGAAUCUGUAUGCCAAAAACUCACUUCAGCAUAAAAGGCCUAUCCUCUCCCC